RNAcentral lists this ribosomal RNA (253 nucleotides) under uncultured bacterium. RNAcentral describes it as "partial 16S ribosomal RNA". It matches the Rfam family "Bacterial small subunit ribosomal RNA", at positions 524 to 776 of the family's 1533-position model. The record is from RNAcentral.
UACGAAGGGGGCUAGCGUUGCUCGGAAUCACUGGGCGUAAAGCGCACGUAGGCGGACUCUUAAGUCGGGGGUGAAAUCCUGGAGCUCAACUCCAGAACUGCCUUCGAUACUGAAGAGCUCGAGUCCGGGAGAGGUGAGUGGAACUGCGAGUGUAGAGGUGAAAUUCGUAGAUAUUCGCAAGAACACCAGUGGCGAAGGCGGCUCACUGGCCCGGUACUGACGCUGAGGUGCGAAAGCGUGGGGAGCAAACAGG